RNAcentral lists this ribosomal RNA (966 nucleotides) under Anourosorex yamashinai. RNAcentral describes it as "partial 16S ribosomal RNA". It matches the Rfam family "Bacterial large subunit ribosomal RNA", at positions 981 to 2578 of the family's 2925-position model. The record is from RNAcentral. Lineage: Eukaryota; Metazoa; Chordata; Mammalia; Eulipotyphla; Soricidae.
UAAUUUAUUUGUAAAUUUAAAUAUUAGUCUAAAAGGGUACAGCCUUUUAGAUUUAGGGUACAACCUAAAUUAGAGAGUAAAAUAUUUUAAUUCCCAUAGUUGGCCUAAAAGCAGCCAUCAAUUAAGAAAGCGUUCAAGCUCAACAGUAAAUUAUAUUCAAAUUUAAACCACUAAUAUUUAACUCCUAAAUUUUUACUGGACUAAUCUAUAUAAUUAUAGAAGUAAUACUGUUAAUAUGAGUAACAAGAUUUUAAUCUCCAAGCGCAAACUUAUGUCAGAUCAAAUAAUAACUGAUAAUUAACAGCCAAAUAAAUAUAAAUUCAAAUUAACUAUUUAUUAUAACACUGUUAACCCAACACAGGAGCGCACAAUUUUAAAGGAAAGAUUUAAAGAAGUAAAAGGAACUCGGCAAACACAAACCCCGCCUGUUUACCAAAAACAUCACCUCUAGCAUUACUAGUAUUAGAGGCACUGCCUGCCCAGUGACAAUUGUUAAACGGCCGCGGUAUCCUGACCGUGCAAAGGUAGCAUAAUCAUUUGUUCCUUAAAUAGGGACUUGUAUGAAUGGCCACACGAGGGUUUAACUGUCUCUUACUUCCAAUCAGUGAAAUUGACCUUCCCGUGAAGAGGCGGGAAUAUACAAAUAAGACGAGAAGACCCUAUGGAGCUUUAAUUUAAUAACCCAAGAGAAAUUUCAUUUUAUUAACUUAACAAGAUUUUCAAACUGGGUUAAAAAUUUAGGUUGGGGUGACCUCGGAAAAUAGAGAAACUUCCGAGAAACAUAUACUAAGUCUAACAAGACAAAGUAUAUUAUACAAAUUGAUCCAGUCUAACUGAUCAACGGAAUAAGUUACCCUAGGGAUAACAGCGCAAUCCUAUUUCAGAGUUCAUAUCGACAAUAGGGUUUACGACCUCGAUGUUGGAUCAGGACAUCCUAAUGGUGCAGCAGCUAUUAAUGGUUCGUUU